RNAcentral lists this ribosomal RNA (1083 nucleotides) under human gut metagenome. RNAcentral describes it as "bacterial LSU rRNA". It matches the Rfam family "Bacterial large subunit ribosomal RNA", at positions 878 to 1980 of the family's 2925-position model. The record is from RNAcentral.
AGCCUCGAUUUAGAUUCAUGGGGGUAGAGCACUGAAUGGGCUAGGGGGCCACAAAGCUUACCGAACCCUAUCAAACUUCGAAUACCGGAUAAUUGAUGAACGGGAGUCAGACGGCGGGAGAUAAGUUUCGUCGUCAAAAGGGAAACAGCCCAGAUCUACGACUAAGGUCCCGAAAUCACAGUUAAGUGGAAAAGGAUGUGCAGUUGCACAGACAACCAGGAUGUUGGCUUAGAAGCAGCCACUCAUUUAAAGAGUGCGUAAUAGCUCACUGGUCGAGUGAUUGUGCGCCGAAAAUGUACCGGGGCUAAACUGUGUACCGAAGUCUAGGGAUCGUGAUAAACGAUCGGUAGGGGAGCAACGUGUGCGGGCUGAAGCCGAAGCGAAAGCGACGGUGGACUGCACGGGAGAGAGAAUGCCGGCAUGAGUAGCGAGAGCAAAGUGAGAAUCUUUGCCGUCGAAAGCCUAAGGUUUCCUGAGGAAGGCUCGUCCUCUCAGGGUAAGUCAGGACCUAAGCCGAGGACAAAAGUCGUAGGCGAUGGACAACUGGUUGAUAUUCCAGUACCACCUUUAGCGUUUGACUGAAGCAGUGACACAGAAGGAUAGACAGAGCGCGUGACUGGUAGAGCGCGUCCAAGCGAUGAGGGAGUUAAGUAGUGAAGCACGCUUAACAAUCCUGGGUCGUGAUGGGGACUGAAAAUAAGUAGGGAAGCUGUUGAAUUCACGCUGGCGAGAAAAGCUGCUAAGGAGCGAAAGGGUGCCUGUACCGCAAACCGACACAGGUAGGCGAGGAGAGAAUCCUAAGACGAGCGGGAGAACCCAUGUUAAGGAACUCGGCAAAAUGACCCUGUAACUUCGGGAUAAAGGGAGCCACGAGAGUGGCCGCAGAGAAUAGGCCCAAGCGACUGUUUACCAAAAACACAGGUCUGUGCGAAGUAGAGAUACGACGUAUACGGGCUGACGCCUGCCCAGUGCCGGAAGGUUAAGGGGAAGUGUUAGGGCAACCGAAGCACGGAACUUAAGCCCCGGUGAACGGCGGCCGUAACUAUAACGGUCCUAAGGUAGCGAAAUUCCUUGUCGGGUAAG